This 137-nucleotide ribosomal RNA is filed under the name uncultured eukaryote. RNAcentral's name for it is "partial 18S ribosomal RNA". It matches the Rfam family "Eukaryotic small subunit ribosomal RNA", at positions 1299 to 1458 of the family's 1831-position model. The record is from RNAcentral.
UGGUGGAGUGAUUUGUCUGCUUAAUUGCGGUAACGAACGAGACCUUAACCUGCUAAAUAGCCAGGCUAGCUUUGGCUGGUCGCCGGCUUCUUAGAGGGACUAUCGGCUCAAGCCGAUGGAAGUUUGAGGCAAUAACA